AGAGUUUGAUCCUGGCUCAGGAUGAACGCUGGCGGCGUGCCUAAUACAUGCAAGUCGAGCGAACGGACGAGAAGCUUGCUUCUCUGAUGUUAGCGGCGGACGGGUGAGCAACACGUGGAUAACCUACCUAUAAGACUGGGAUAACUUCGGGAAACCGGAGCUAAUACCGGAUAAUAUUUUGAACCGCAUGGUUCAAAAGUGAAAGACGGUCUUGCUGUCACUUAUAGAUGGAUCCGCGCUGCAUUAGCUAGUUGGUAAGGUAACGGCUUACCAAGGCAACGAUGCAUAGCCGACCUGAGAGGGUGAUCGGCCACACUGGAACUGAGACACGGUCCAGACUCCUACGGGAGGCAGCAGUAGGGAAUCUUCCGCAAUGGGCGAAAGCCUGACGGAGCAACGCCGCGUGAGUGAUGAAGGUCUUCGGAUCGUAAAACUCUGUUAUUAGGGAAGAACAUAUGUGUAAGUAACUGUGCACAUCUUGACGGUACCUAAUCAGAAAGCCACGGCUAACUACGUGCCAGCAGCCGCGGUAAUACGUAGGUGGCAAGCGUUAUCCGGAAUUAUUGGGCGUAAAGCGCGCGUAGGCGGUUUUUUAAGUCUGAUGUGAAAGCCCACGGCUCAACCGUGGAGGGUCAUUGGAAACUGGAAAACUUGAGUGCAGAAGAGGAAAGUGGAAUUCCAUGUGUAGCGGUGAAAUGCGCAGAGAUAUGGAGGAACACCAGUGGCGAAGGCGACUUUCUGGUCUGUAACUGACGCUGAUGUGCGAAAGCGUGGGGAUCAAACAGGAUUAGAUACCCUGGUAGUCCACGCCGUAAACGAUGAGUGCUAAGUGUUAGGGGGUUUCCGCCCCUUAGUGCUGCAGCUAACGCAUUAAGCACUCCGCCUGGGGAGUACGACCGCAAGGUUGAAACUCAAAGGAAUUGACGGGGACCCGCACAAGCGGUGGAGCAUGUGGUUUAAUUCGAAGCAACGCGAAGAACCUUACCAAAUCUUGACAUCCUUUGACAACUCUAGAGAUAGAGCCUUCCCCUUCGGGGGACAAAGUGACAGGUGGUGCAUGGUUGUCGUCAGCUCGUGUCGUGAGAUGUUGGGUUAAGUCCCGCAACGAGCGCAACCCUUAAGCUUAGUUGCCAUCAUUAAGUUGGGCACUCUAAGUUGACUGCCGGUGACAAACCGGAGGAAGGUGGGGAUGACGUCAAAUCAUCAUGCCCCUUAUGAUUUGGGCUACACACGUGCUACAAUGGACAAUACAAAGGGCAGCGAAACCGCGAGGUCAAGCAAAUCCCAUAAAGUUGUUCUCAGUUCGGAUUGUAGUCUGCAACUCGACUACAUGAAGCUGGAAUCGCUAGUAAUCGUAGAUCAGCAUGCUACGGUGAAUACGUUCCCGGGUCUUGUACACACCGCCCGUCACACCACGAGAGUUUGUAACACCCGAAGCCGGUGGAGUAACCUUUUAGGAGCUAGCCGUCGAAGGUGGGACAAAUGAUUGGGGUGAAGUCGUAACAAGGUAGCCGUAUCGGAAGGUGCGGCUGGAUCACCU
This 1540-nucleotide ribosomal RNA is filed under the name Staphylococcus aureus. RNAcentral's name for it is "16S ribosomal RNA". It matches the Rfam family "Bacterial small subunit ribosomal RNA". Lineage: Bacteria; Bacillati; Bacillota; Bacilli; Caryophanales; Staphylococcaceae. The record is from RNAcentral.